UUUAUCUCAAGGAUGUAAUUAAACCAUUAAUUGCUUAAUUGCAAUUAUUUAGAAUGCUCGACUUCCGGUGCAGUGCAAAUAUGAAUAAGUUUGACUUGAUCAAAUCAAGUUAAUUAAUUCACUUUUGAAUCAAAUUCAUGAUGUUAAAAAAAAAAAAAACUCCUAAAUACGAGUAUAAACUAUUUACAAAAUCCAAAGAAAUUCAAGAACUCCUAAAUACGAGUAUAAACUAUUUAAAAUUCCAAAAUCAAAUGAAGAACUCCUAAAUACGAGUAUAAACUAUUUAUAAAUCCAAAGAAAUUCAAGAACUCCUAAAUAUGAGUAUAAACUAUUUAUAAAUUCAAAUUCAAGUCAAGAAC
RNAcentral lists this long non-coding RNA (359 nucleotides) under Salvia miltiorrhiza (redroot sage). RNAcentral describes it as "long non-coding RNA (SMIL_LNC009995)". The record is from RNAcentral. Lineage: Eukaryota; Viridiplantae; Streptophyta; Magnoliopsida; Lamiales; Lamiaceae.